UGAACGCGAAGAACCUUACCACGGGGGUCUUGUACACACCGAACGCGAAGAACCUUACCAGGUCUUGACAUCCAGUGCAAACCUACGAGAUUAGGUGUUCCCUUCGGGGACGCUGAGACAGGUGGUGCAUGGCUGUCGUCAGCUCGUGUCGUGAGAUGUUGGGUUAAGUCCCGCAACGAGCGCAACCCUUGUCAUUAGUUGCCAUCAUUAAGUUGGGCACUCUAAUGAGACUGCCGGUGACAAACCGGAGGAAGGUGGGGAUGACGUCAAGUCAUCAUGCCCCUUAUGACCUGGGCUACACACGUGCUACAAUGGACGGUACAACGAGAAGCGAACCUGCGAAGGCAAGCGGAUCUCUUAAAGCCGUUCUCAGUUCGGACUGUGGGCUGCAACUCGCCUACACGAAGCUGGAAUCGCUAGUAAUCGCGGAUCAGCACGCCGCGGUGAAUACGUUCCCGGGUCUUGUACACACCG
This 474-nucleotide ribosomal RNA is filed under the name uncultured bacterium. RNAcentral describes it as "bacterial SSU rRNA". It matches the Rfam family "Bacterial small subunit ribosomal RNA", at positions 946 to 1392 of the family's 1533-position model. The record is from RNAcentral.